This is a long non-coding RNA of Oreochromis aureus, 1419 nucleotides long. NCBI's taxonomy places the organism in Eukaryota, Metazoa, Chordata, Actinopteri, Cichliformes, Cichlidae. The record is from Ensembl.
AGGCAAACUUUUAUGUGAAUGGUGAAGUUAACAAACAAAACCACCGCUAUUGGUCUGACACUAACCCACAUUGGAUGGAUCCCUCCAAGACUGUUGGAACAACAAAAGUGAUGGUUUGGUGUGGUUUAUGGGGUACAACGAUUGUUAGAGUGAAUUGUUAAAUGUUGUCAUUUCUAUGCUUGCCAACUCUGAUGAAAAGGAUUCCACUGCCCUUCCCCCCAGAUUCUCGAGGUUCUGGUUGGGGGGCUGUAAUGUUUUAUUGCAGAUACAUCCUAUCUGGAAGAUCUGCUUCUUUUGAUGUAAGCUUCCUGCGUUUACGACCCUUUGGUCAGCAGGAGGUAACUAACACACACACACACACACACAUUCUUACUUACAUACAGAAGUUCACACAUAUACAUACAAUGCCUUAGAACCUGUGGAGAAAGGAGAUGUUAUUUUUCCUGCCAUUUUUUAUCAGUUCAUUUUACUAUUUUCAGUUUUAUUAUUUGGUUAUUGUUAUCGCAUCAUAAUCAUAUAACAAGCAUUUGCACUGAUGCAUUUAUUGAUAUUACCUUAAAGUUUGCAUUCAUUUUAAGCUCACUUUUAUUUACUUUAUUUACUUUAUGUACAGGUGCCAGUAUAAUCAUAUGAUAAUUUGUCAUUGCAGGAGCACCUAUGAUUAUUUUACACACAUUGCAUUUGUGCCUUUAAAGGAGUUGUGACUCAAGAAGUCGUCUCUUGAGGGUUAUAAACUUUUGGUUAGCGUUAGGAUCAGCCAAUCUACUGUGAGGAUGACCUGAGUUAUUGAAGGAUUGCACAUGCUUACAAUACAUUUGUAUUCUGUUCUUUUUAUUAUUUUAUUCAUGUAUACCUUUUUAUUAAGUUUUAAGUAGUGGUAUCAGAUUGAGACAUUUGUUUAAUACCUUUUUAUACAUUUUACAUAUAAGCCAAGAUCAUCACACAUAGGAUGGCCUCAGCCUAGUUGCAUAAGCAGAGAGGUCACAUAAGGUGCAAGGCGAGGGUAACACAUGCACAGACAUACACACACACCCACACGCACACAGAUAUACAAGUGAGUUUAUUUAGGUGAAAGGUAAGCAUGCUUGCUAGGGUUGCAGUUUUUUGUGGGUGUAGGUGAUGGUUUGAUAAGAGUACAGGAUGUCUAACUGUCUUGUGGGGACUGUGGGUGCGGGGACUGCACCGAGAGAAGGAUGGAAGCCGAUGUUCUUUUAAAAGGGGUCAAAAGUUAACAGGGGUUUUGUGGGUUUGAUUUGACGUAUGCAAAUAUUGUAUCUGCUUAAGACAUGAAGGGGCGUUGUAUUAACCUGCCCAUAUAAAACCUUUGUGUUGUUUAUUGUUUGAGGGAUCCACCUUUGAUGUUCUGCAGGGUGUGUCUCCCACACGUGUGAUUUUCAUUAAAGUCAUCGCUUGAAUUCA